Molecule: unclassified non-coding RNA, 242 nt
Filed under: uncultured Sordariales
Lineage: Eukaryota; Fungi; Ascomycota; Sordariomycetes; Sordariales
Description: sequence contains 5.8S rRNA gene, ITS2, 28S rRNA gene
Source: RNAcentral
AACGCAUCUUGCGCCCGCCAGUAUUCUGACGGGCAUGCCUGUUCGAGCGUCAUUUCAACCAUCAAGCCCCCGGCUUGCGUUGGGGCCCUGCGGCUGCCGCAGACCCCUAAAUUCAGUGGCGGGCUCGUCGUGGUACCGAGUGCAGUAAACAUCCUCGCUCGUGGACCCCGACGGGUGCUGGCCGUGAAACCCUCCCUCUCAAGGUUGACCUCGGAUCAGGUAGGAAUACCCGCUGAACUUAA